AUUUGUGAGACACAGUACCCAUUUUAUCUUGCUUUUUAAGAAGCUCUGAGGAGGGGAGUGAUGACAGUUGGCAUACUUCCGAGGAGGAGGAACUCGAUUUUACCCCCAAGAAGCUGCAGAAGCCAAACUUGACACUGUUACUGAAUGCUUCCCAGCAGUACAGGAAAAACAAUGGUGAUAGUUCUAGAAUUGAAAGUCUUAAGUCACCAAAUAAAUGCCUCAGAGAAAGAACCCUGUCAGAUGCAAAUGCAAGCAAAGGAAAAUGUGGACAGUUACUGACUCAAGAUGUGUCAGAUGCAAAAAGCCUGGAGGAGGAGAAGGAAAUAGAGGAGGAAGAGGAAUAUGAUGAAAAAGAUAAUGGAGAUGAUGAUGAGGAUUAUGAGGAAGAGGAAGAAGAGGGUGAAGAUCUCACUCAAGACGAAAAGGAGGAGGAAGAUCUUGAAGAUGAAGAAACUCAGUCUAAUGGCAUAUUGGAGGAGGAGCAGGGUGAGAAAAAAGAACCUAAAGGGGAAAUUAAUCAGAAACUGGAAUACGUUAGUAGUGCCAAGUAUGAAGGGAAAGCUCGGUGUGAAGCUGGAAAUGUCUGUGAUAAUGCUGUAAGUAAAGAACUUGAUGAAAAGGUGGAGGAAUCUGUUGAUGCUCAUGUGUCUUUUCUAGGUGGAUGUUAUGAACCGUCGCAAGAAAAUAUAACUGCCAUGUCUCCAAAGACAAUGAAUAAUGAAGUAUCUUGCAAGUCAGUAGGAAAACAAGCUGUCUUUCAAAAUCUAAAUAAUUUGCAAGAUACACAAGAAAGCUGGAACAAGAAAAGCAUGAUCCAGAAGUUUCACAGAAAUGGUGACUCCUGUUCUGUAGACUCUGAAAUGACCAACUGGAAAAAGGAGAUACCUCAGCCUCUCUCAGGUAGCUGUGGUCUUAAGGAGAAAAAGUCAGGCUUUGGUGAUGGCUUUGAAAAUGGUGAUAAUUCUUGGUUAGCAGCAAAAAACCUAAGGCUUGGAAGUCAAAGACCAAGCUCUGUUGUUCUUGAAUGUGUGGAUGAUGACGAUACUGAAGAAGAGCAAUGUGAAGAAGUAGAUGGUGAAGUCUGUGAAGCACUGAAGCAAGAAAGUGAAAACUUGUGCUUAAACAAGUGUGAAGAAAAUUUAAAAGCAGCAUUUUACUCGAGCACCAAAGAGGAAUCGUCUGAGUGGGAUGACGAGGAGGAGCAGGAGAAGCAAGGUGUUGGUGAAGAGCUACAAACUGCAGUUGUUGAGGGUGCCCUGACAGCAGUGGAAGUAGAGGAAGAUGCUGAUUCUCCCUGGGAUUCUGAGAUUAUAGAGACAGAUCCUGGAAGUCUGAGAAAAGCAUCAUCUGGUGUGUUGUUCCCAGCUGCAGACAGACAUGGAACAUGCUCUCAGGUUGCUUCAGGGGAACACAAUGGCUUUUCAGAGAAACCCAGCAAUUCCCAGUUGAAGACUCCCCAAGCUGCUUCAGAAAUAAAUAAACCCUCUCCUAAAAAUAGGCAGGAGAAAUCAGAUCUGUUGGAGGAAUUUGGUUUAGGAGAUGCAGAGGAUAUUGAAGGUGAGUACUCGGGAUCUACCUCUCACGUAUCAUCAUCAGCUACAAAAGAAGACAUCAAGGAUACCACUGAAAACUAUGGAGUACAGGUUGAGAAAGAAAGAUGUUUAAAAAUGAAGGUGAUGACAAAACAAGAUGACCCUGAUAAAUCAUAUACACCACCAAGCAACACUGCUGAUCAGCAAAGGCAACAGAAGCUAACUCUAAGGAAGAAUGAGUGUUUGAAAAUGGAGAAUGAAAGUGCUAUAGAAGAAAAGGACAAAAAGAACUUUUCAUCUGAGAAGAGGUCAAAACUGAUUAAAAUGCCAAUGAAAGGAAAACUUGCUCUGAAUGCAGAUGUUGCAAAGAAAAACAAAAGAUGGACUUUGAAGAAGGUGGCUGAUCAGCAGUUGGGUUCUUCCAGUGGGAAUAAUUUUCAAGUACUGGAUGACAGCACUUCCAGUGAGACAUCUCAAGAUGAAGGAAGGUGCUGAAUAUAAGGAAUGUUAUAAAGAAACCUUACUUAA
Molecule: long non-coding RNA, 2060 nt
Filed under: Melopsittacus undulatus (budgerigar)
Lineage: Eukaryota; Metazoa; Chordata; Aves; Psittaciformes; Psittaculidae
Description: lncRNA (ENSMUNG00000017436.1)
Source: RNAcentral